RNAcentral lists this ribosomal RNA (2108 nucleotides) under sediment metagenome. Its description in RNAcentral is "bacterial LSU rRNA". It matches the Rfam family "Bacterial large subunit ribosomal RNA", at positions 3 to 1983 of the family's 2925-position model. The record is from RNAcentral.
UCAAGCAAUUAAGGGCAAUCGGUGGAUGCCUUGGCGUCAAGAGGCGAUGAAGGACGUGGCAGGCUGCGAUAAUCUUCGAGGAGCCGUCUGCAGGCGCUUUAACUCGAAGGUCUCCGAAUCGGGGAACCGGGUGCCGUGAACCGGCAUCAUCCCGGCGUAAGCCGGGAAGCAAACCCAGGGAACUGAAACAUCUUAGUACCUGGAGGAAAAGAUACCGAAGUGUAUUCCCUCAGUAGCGGCGAGCGAACGGGGAAAAGCCUAAACCGGGCAUAUGUUAAAGCCUAUAUGCGUUGUAUGUUCGGUGUCGUGGGAUCUCUUCUGACCUUGGUAUAGCGAGGUCGGGAAGUUACAAAUUCACGGCUUAGUAGAAUGGCAUGGAAAGGCCAACCAAAGAAGGUGACAGUCCUGUAAAUUAAAAGCCGUCGAACUUCCUGGGAGAGACACCCGAGUACCACGGGACACGUGGAAUCUUGUGGGAAUUUGCCCCGACCACGGGGUAAGGCUAAAUACUACUUGACGACCGAUAGUGAACAAGUACCGUGAGGGAAAGGUGAAAAGCCCCCCGGGAGGGGAGUGAAAUAGAACCUGAAACCGUUUGCCUACAAACCGUUGGAGGGCUAUGCCCUGAUUAAUAAUCGGGGAAUGCCUGACAGCGUGCCUUGUGUAUAAUGAGCUGCCGAGUUAUCUUUUAUAGCAGGUUAAGCUGUUCAAGUGGAGCCAAAGCGAAAGCGAGUCUUAAUAGGGCGCGUCCUUCGGGACAUGUUAUAAGGGAUAGACCUGAAACCGGGUGAUCUAUCUAUGACCAGGAUGAAGUUCGGGUAAUACCGAAUGGAGGUCCGAACCUACCAAGGUUGAAAACUUGGAGGAUGAGUUGUGGAUAGGGGUGAAAGGCCAAUCAAACCCGGCAAUAUCUGGUUCUCCUCGAAAUAGCUCUAGGGCUAGCCUCAUGGGUUCAAUUGCGGGGGUAGAGCACUGAAUGAGCUAGGGCUCCUACAAGAGUACCAAACUCAAUCAAACUCCGAAUACCGUAAUUUCAUACCAUGGGAGUCAGACUGCGGGCGAUAAGGUUCGUAGUCGAGAGGGAAACAGCCCAGACCGUCAGCUAAGGUCCCGAAAUACGGGCUAAGUGGGAAAGGAUGUGAGAUUGCUCAGACAGCCAGGAGGUUGGCUUAGAAGCAGCCAUUCCUUUAAAGAGUGCGUAAUAGCUCACUGGUCGAGUGGUCUUGCGCCAAUAAUUUAGCGGGGCUCAAGCCCGUUACCGAAGCUACGGAUUUAUGCGAUUUAUCGCAUGGAUAGUAGAGGAGUGUUCCAUAAGAGAUACAAGGUGUACCGUGAGGAGCACUGUUGGCUUAUGGAAGUAAGUAUGGCAGCAUGAGUAACGAUAAUUCGGGUAAGAAACCCGAACGCCGAAAGUCUAAGGUUUCCUGGGGAAGGUUAAUCCGCCCAGGGUUAGUCGGUCCCUAAGGCGAGGCCGAAAGGCGUAGCUGAUGGGAAACAGGUUAAAAAUUCCUGUACCACCGAGAGACGUUAUUAGCAAUGGGGUGACGCAGAAGGAUAGGUCAGUCCCCUGAUGGAUGGGGAUCGAAGGCUGUAGGGAUCCCGGUGAGAGCCGGGAUAGUGUCAAGCCAGGUAAAUCCGGUAGACAUGAAAACCGAGGGUCGUAAGGCCGUAGAAUUCUUCGGAAGACUGCGGAUUGAUUGAGUCCUCCUGCCAAGAAAUAACCUCUAGCGAGUCUGCAGGUGACCGUACCGCAAACCGACACAGGUAGACGGGGUGAGUAUCCUAAGGCGCUCGAGAUAACUCUCGUCAAGGAACUCGGCAAAAUUGCUCCGUAACUUCGGGAGAAGGAGCGCCCUGAGUAUGUGAAGCCCCUGCGGGUGGAGCAGAAAGGGGUUGCAAUAAAAAGGCCCAAGCGACUGUUUACUAAAAACACAGGUCUCUGCUAAGUCGUAAGACGAUGUAUAGGGACUGACGCCUGCCCGGUGCCGGAAGGUUAAAAGGAGGGGUUAUCCUGAGCAAUCAGGAGAAGCUCUGAAUUGAAGCCCCGGUAAACGGCGGCCGUAACUAUAACGGUCCUAAGGUAGCGAAAUUCCUGGUCGGGUAAGUUC